This 5328-nucleotide long non-coding RNA is filed under the name Brassica napus (rape). RNAcentral's name for it is "long non-coding RNA (BNAP_LNC007181)". Lineage: Eukaryota; Viridiplantae; Streptophyta; Magnoliopsida; Brassicales; Brassicaceae. The record is from RNAcentral.
AUAACAGCCUCUCUGGUGAAUUUCCAGAAGAAUCUAUCAGUGUUGGCUUGGUUUCACUUGAUGUUAGUCACAACCAGUUAUCAGGAGAACUUCCCAAGUCUCUGAUUAAUUGCACUUACCUCCAGUUUGUAAACGUUGAAGACAACAUGUUCAAUGACAUGUUUCCUUUCGGGUUGAGAGUGUUGCCUGGUUUGCAGUUUCUUGUCCUUCGUUCUAACAAGUUCCAUGGGCCACUAUAUCCUCCAGUCCGAUUGCAACAUGCAAACUCUCUGCUGAAGCAUAUGGUCAAGUCCCACCAUGGAGACCGGAGAAUCAGCCCAAUCGACCCUGCAAGGAAAAAAGCUGCUCCUUUACCGAAAUCUCUAGAACUAGAAGUCGAGUCUCUUGCUUCAUCUGAAGAUGACUAAGCUGAGGAUUCCAAUCUGUUCCUCGAGAAAGGCCCUCAGUACAAGACAAGUCGACAAACCUUCCAAUCUCUCUUCCGUGAGAAUCCGGAUAUGUUGCGACCAAGAGUCAAACCUCUCAGCGCUCGGUUCUCUAUCAAAGCUGCUGUUGAAAGGUACAUGUCCAUGAAAUUCCGUAAGUUCCUCAUUCCGCACUGUCUCCCUCUUACAGAUGAGAAGCUUGUAGAUGUUAAGGAUGUAACCGGUGCAGCUAAAUUGAUAUAUACUUUGAUCAGUGCUGAUCAUUCUCUCCAACCGUGAUAAGAGAGUUCAUUGCGAAUCUUUUGGAUGCUAAGGAAAGAGCUGAUGGGGUCGAUGUGUAUUUCCUAAGCUCCUUAGUGGAGCUCUUUCCGAGUCUGAUCAACUCCAUGUAUUGCAUCUCUGACUUCGAGGACGAUGUUGAUUGGAGCUUUGAGAAAAUUGAUCGAGUGUGUGCAUAUCGCACUGAUGAUCGCGUUAAAAGUUGGGUGAAGAUAAGCUCUAAGUUCUUAACCUUGACGAAUCAAGUGCUCUACAAGCUUGUCUGCUCAAACUGGAUCCCUACGAUCAGCUACACUGCGAUGAAUUAAGAGCAUCUCAAAUUCCUCUAGAUGCUUCAUCAGCAGAAAAUGUUCAAUUUUGGGAAGUUGGUGUAUGACCAAAUCAUGAAAAUGGCUCAUAAAGUUGAUGAUAAGCAGAGGCAAAUCAUCUUUCCCACUAUAACAGUUUUUAUAUCUCCAAGGAAAAAAUAGUUUUAUGCCUCAGUAAUUAACGAAAAUUAUAUUUCCAAAUAACAUUUCUUAUGAUGGUUAAUUAAAGAAACACUUUUAAUGAAUUAAAAUAUUAUAUCUAAUUGACAUUUUUAAAUACUAUUUAAUAAUUUAUGCCAAUUAUUAUUUUUAUUUUAUUUUCCUCUUUCAUAUUUUUCCAAAUAACAUUUCUGAUAAGAAGAAUAUAUUGAUAUAAUAAAAAACAAAAAUUAUAUCAACAAAAAGGAAAGAAACAUAUUUUAUAUAUAAUGUUAUUUCAUAAAAAGGAAAAAAAAAACAGUUUUUAUGUUAAAAAUAAUCAUCUCUUUAAAACAUAAUAUUAAAAAAAAAAUUUAUCAGUCUAUUCUUGCAUAUUAUUAAAAUUAAUUUAAAUAGCAUGUACUAAAAUAUCCUUGAUGAACUAAAAAUAUUUUAUAUUGUAUUAUUGAGAUAUUUAUUCAUUUUCCAUAAUUUUGUUUUAAUUUUUAAAUUGAUUUACAUUUCUAUAUAUGUUUAUCAAACUACAUAACCAAAAAUAUACAAACAUUAAUCAAACUUAAAUACCAUUAAAAUUUGUUCAAUGCUUAAUAUUUUAAUUUUAAUUUUAAAUUUAUAAUUUUAUACAAAUAGUAUACCUAUAAUAAAAAUACAUAACCAAUAAUUUAAUUAUAUUUUAUACAUCUAAAUUAUAAAGUUUCAUCGAAUUUAGAAAAAAAGAGUAAAAUGUUGAUAUUUUUUCAUGUGUUUUCAAAAUUUUACCAGUAAUGUUCGUUUAUAAAACUUCUACUUAUCAUCAUUUCAUUUUUUUCUACUAUUUUUAUAAAUCUACAAAUAUCAAAUUAUACAUAAGAAUUUACAAAAUAUAUUUACAUUUUUAGAUGAAGAACUAACUAAUGCAAUAUAUAAAACAGAUCAAAUUUAGUUUAACAAUAAUCAAAAGUAAGUGUGCUUCAACUUGAAAAAAUAUGUGUAACUUAAUAUAACCCACAAAAUGAGUAACUUAAACAAUCUAAAUUUUUUUCCCAAAAUCAAAAGUUUAAUGAAAAGAAAAAAAAAUCAAAAUUCAGUUUUUUCUGCACAAAAAUAUUAUGGCUAAACUUAGAGAAGAAAAUACAAUUCAAUAGACCCAAGUAAUAACCAAAUCGACUGGAUAUUAUAUGUCCAAAUUAGCUGUCUAAUUAAAAUAAUUUAAUAUUAUUUAAAAUAAAUUAUACAUAUAAAAUACUAAUAAUUAAAAUUAGAAUUAGAGUACUAACAAUUUACAAAAGAUUUAAUUUUUAAAAUAUUUAUAUCCGUGCAUGAACACGAGAAAAAUCAACUAAUAUAUAUAUAUGUUCAGCCUCUGGUUAGGUUUAGGGUAUGGUUUUAUUGAAAAAGAAACGAGUGUGGGGUUUAUCUUCACUGCGUUUGCUUGAAAGAUUGGUGAGUGACUUGAGAAUUCAGCUCAGUUCUUGUAUUUUGGGUAGAUUAAGAAUUGAUCUAUCUCAAAUCAUGUGUGAUGUUGAGUUAUUCGGAUUAGACAAGUCUGUAUAAAAUUGUUUAAGCUAUUUCUAAUACACAAAAUACGUGUUAUUAAAGUCACAAGUGUUCACAUAGUUUUGAUCUCCUGUGAACUUUCAAAAAAGUAGUUAACUCGUUUGAAUUAAAAAAAACGAGCUUUGGUUGUCUUGCAAUAUCUCUGAUUCUAUUGACGUUUAUUUGUGUCCACUCUUCUAGCAAAACCAUCAAAGGCGUUAAGAAGCUUUAUGUACAUUUCUGAUAUUAAACUGGUUGUGUUUUCGUCUCAUCUGUAGGUACAACUUCAACUACAAACAUUAGUUGAUGAAAAGCACUUUGAUGGUGUAAAUAUAAUCUUCUUUUUUUUUUUGUCAUCUAUGGUGUAAAUAUAAUCAACAUGCAAAAAUUGCCCUCUUUAAAAAACAGUUUUCCUAAAUCCUACUGCACACUACACGUAAAAGACAGGUUUAGGAGAGGAAGGAAACUAAAACCUACAAAAAUGUUUAUUAACACUGUCAAAGACUUGUUUCCUUGUAGUGGUUAGCGUCGUUUGGGCAAUUGAUUGAACAACAACACACGGCAGAAAAAUAUGUUUGUGGCUGCAAAGCGUUUCAGCGCUUUACCCACACCACACGGCUUAGACAAAACUGUGUUUGUCGUUUUGGAUACUUUUUAAAUCCGUACUGAAUUUUAAUCUUAUUAGACUUUUUGGACCAUUCAUCAAUUAAUUCUCCAUAGAAGACUUGUUCUAAGUCUUCACGAGACUUGUUAAGUCGAUAUUUGAUUUUCUCUCGUUUCACAGCAAAAGCAGAAAAAAAAAACACAAAUAACAAAACGAUGCCUUCUUGUAGUGAAAGGAAGAUGAUAGUAUGGAUCUUGUGUUUAAUAUUUUCUCUUUCUCAUCCAAUACUUAUUUUCGCUUCUUUUCCUGCUAAGCACAUGUGUCAUGCAGACCAAAGGGAUGCUCUUUGGGAGUUCAAGAGCGAGUUCCAUCCCAGUGGGCUGGCUGCUAGUGAGAAGACGCAGAGGUGGAGGAACAACACUGAUUGCUGUUCUUGGGAUGGUAUCACUUGUGAUCCUAAUACGGGCAAUGUUGCUGGGUUAAAUCUCUUGGGCAGUUCUCUCAAUGGCUCUUUAAGAUCAAAUAGUAGUCUGUUUAGAUUACAGCAUCUUCAGAGCCUUGAUCUUAGCUCCAGUAAUCUCGCCGGUAUUCUACCAGAUUCUAUUGGUAAUCUCAAAAAUUUGAGGGUUUUGAAACUUCUUGAAUGCAAUUUAUUUGGAAAGCUUCCUUCGUCGCUUGGGAAUCUUUCUUAUCUCACUCAUCUUGAUCUUGAUGGUAAUGAUUUCACCGGUGAACUACCAGAUUUGAUGGGCAACCUAAACCAACUCACAAAGUUGAUACUUGCAUCAAGCAAGCUCAGUGGGAACUUUCCUCAUGUGCUACUCAAUUUGACCGAGCUCACUACAAUCAACCUUCAUUUUAACCAGCUUGAAGGUACGCUCCCAUCUAACAUGAGUAGCCUCUCCAAACUGGAGUACUUUAAUAUUGGUUCAAAUUCAUUUUCUGGAUCUAUUCCGUCGUCUCUUUUCAUGAUUCCUUCGUUGAUCCAUCUUAACCUGGAAAGGAAUGGCUUCAGCGGUCCUCUUGAGAUUGGGAAUAUCUCUUCACCAUCUAAACUUCAAACUUUAAGCCUUGGAGGAAACAGUCUUAAUGGGCCAAUCCCGGGAUUUAUUUCAAAACUAGCCGGACUCUUGUAUUUGGACCUAUCUUUUUGGAAUAUACGGAGAGGCGUGGUGGGUUUCAGCAUCUUCUUGCAUCUCAAGUCACUUACGUUCCUUGACCUGUCCCAUCUGAAUACAAGAAGUAUGGUCGACAUGAGUCUCUUCUCACAUCUCAUGUCACUUAGCGUACUUCACCUUUCAGGUAAUAAUUUGAAUAUCAGUUCAACUCUCAAUCUUCCCUCGCCCAUUGGAUCACUGGCUCUAGCGUCCUGCAAUAUUUCUGAAUUUCCAAAGUUUCUACAAACACAAACCAGUUUGUUUUACUUAGAUAUUUCUAACAAUCAAAUCAAAGGGCAAGUACCAGAGUGGUUAUGGAGUCUCCCAGGGCUGGGGUAUGUAGACUUUUCUCGGAAUUCAUUUAGUGGUUUUGAUGGACCAGCGGAUGUUAUUCAAAGAAAUGAAAUAUAUAUGCUGGAUAUAAGUUCAAACACUUUCAAGAAUCCAUUUCCUUUGUUACCAAAAUCUAUUAUAUAUUUUUCAGCUUCUGAUAAUCAGUUUUCAGGAGAGAUUCCGAAGAUAAUAUGCGAGCUGGAUUCUCUUGGUAAACUUAUUUUAUCCAACAACAACUUCAGCGGUUCUAUACCUCGGUGUUUUGAGAAUUUCAAUACUAAGCUUACAGUCUUGCAUCUUCAGAAUAACAGCCUCUCUGGUGAAUUUCCAGAAGAAUCUAUCAGUGUUGGCUUGGUUUCACUUGAUGUUAGUCACAACCAGUUAUCAGGAGAACUUCCCAAGUCUCUGAUUAAUUGCACUUACCUCCAGUUUGUAAACGUUGAAGACAACAUGUUCAAUGACAUGUUUCCUUUCGGGUUGAGAGUGUUGCCUGGUUUGCAGUUUCUUGUCCUUCGUUCUAACAAGUUCCAUGGGCCACUAUAUCCUCC